Molecule: ribosomal RNA, 460 nt
Filed under: uncultured bacterium
Lineage: Bacteria
Description: partial 16S ribosomal RNA
Rfam family: Bacterial small subunit ribosomal RNA
Source: RNAcentral
CCUACGGGGGGCAGCAGUGAGGAAUAUUGGUCAAUGGGCGCGAGCCUGAACCAGCCAAGUAGCGUGAAGGAUGACUGCCCUACGGGUUGUAAACUUCUUUUAUAAAGGAAUAAAGUGAGGCACGUGUGCCUUUUUGUAUGUACUUUAUGAAUAAGGAUCGGCUAACUCCGUGCCUGCAGCCGCGGUAAUACGGUGGAUCCGAGCGUUAUCCGGAUUUAUUGGGUUUAAGGGGUGCGUAGAUGGGUUGUUAAGUCAGUUGUGAAAGUUUGCGGCUCAACCGUAAAAUUGCAAUUGAUACUGGCAGCCUUGAGUACAGGUGAGGUAGGCGGAAUUCGUGGUGUAGCGGUGAAAUGCUUAGAUAUCACGAAGAACUCCGAUUGCGAAGGCAGCUUACUAAACUUCCACUGACAUUGAUGCUCGAAAGUGUGGGUAGCAAACAGGAUUAGAUACCCUGGUAGUC